RNAcentral lists this ribosomal RNA (466 nucleotides) under uncultured bacterium. RNAcentral describes it as "partial 16S ribosomal RNA". It matches the Rfam family "Bacterial small subunit ribosomal RNA", at positions 28 to 507 of the family's 1533-position model. The record is from RNAcentral.
GAUGAACGCUGGCGGCGUGCUUAACACAUGCAAGUCGAACGAUGAAGCCCAGCUUGCUGGGUGGAUUAGUGGCGAACGGGUGAGUAACACGUGAGUAACCUGCCCUUAACUCUGGGAUAAGCCUGGGAAACUGGGUCUAAUACCGGAUAGGAGCGUCCACCGCAUGGUGGGUGUUGGAAAGAUUUAUCGGUUUUGGAUGGACUCGCGGCCUAUCAGCUUGUUGGUGAGGUAAUGGCUCACCAAGGCGACGACGGGUAGCCGGCCUGAGAGGGUGACCGGCCACACUGGGACUGAGACACGGCACAGACUCCUACGGGAGGCAGCAGUGGGGAAUAUUGCACAAUGGGCGCAAGCCUGAUGCAGCGACGCCGCGUGAGGGAUGACGGCCUUCGGGUUGUAAACCUCUUUCAGUAGGGAAGAAGCGAAAGUGACGGUACCUGCAGAAGAAGCACCGGCUAACUACGUG